This 360-nucleotide ribosomal RNA is filed under the name Triticum aestivum (bread wheat). Its description in RNAcentral is "partial small subunit ribosomal RNA". The record is from RNAcentral. Lineage: Eukaryota; Viridiplantae; Streptophyta; Magnoliopsida; Poales; Poaceae.
AUGUGUGGCACUGUAGGUUUUCUUCUUGUUGCCGGCCUCUUGUGCGAACAUACGUUGUCUGAACAGGUGGAGAUGCUGAAGAGAAGAAGACAUGAAGAAGUCGAGAAGAAAGAUGAAGCUGAACAAAGGGCCAAGGAUUGUCAAGUGGUUUCACAGGCCUGGCUGGAACUGGAUUUUCAUUCUUCAGGCUCAUUGGUUCCAUUUUUUGGCUCUACAGAAACCUCAGAUGCUCCCUAUUUUGGGCUAUACAGUGUACUCCGCGCAUGGCAUUUUCUCGUGCAUAUGCAACAACAUUUCCGAAAGAAAAUUCCUUGGCUGAUCAACAACAUUCCAUUGAUCCUUGGUUGCCACUGGCAUUAG